AUUGAACGCUGGCGGCAGGCCUAACACAUGCAAGUCGAACGAGUGGCGGACGGGUGAGCAAUGUCUGGGAAACUGCCUGAUGGAGGGGGCUAACUACUGGAAACGGUAGCUAAUACCGCAUACCAUCGGAUGUGCCCAGAUGGGAUUAGCUAGUAGGUGGGGUAAAGGCUCACCUAGGCGACGAUGCCUAGCUGAGCUGAGAGGAUGACCGGCCACACUGGAACUGAGACACGGUCCAGACUCCUACGGGAGGCAGCAGUAGGGAAUAUUGCACAAUGGGCGCAAGCCUGAUGCAGCCAUGCCGCGUGUGUGAAGAAGGCCUUCGGGUUGUAAAGUUCUUUCGGCGGUGAGGCGUUACCCGAAGAGGAAGCACCGGCUAACUCCGUGCCAGCAGCCGCGGUAAUAC
Molecule: ribosomal RNA, 406 nt
Filed under: uncultured bacterium
Lineage: Bacteria
Description: partial 16S ribosomal RNA
Rfam family: Bacterial small subunit ribosomal RNA
Source: RNAcentral